Molecule: non-coding RNA, 75 nt
Organism: Candidatus Buchananbacteria bacterium
Lineage: Bacteria; Candidatus Buchananiibacteriota
Source: Rfam
AGCGGAGUAGGGUAGCUCGGAGUGCCCGAUGGGCUCAUAACCCAUAGAUCGGUGGUUCAAAUCCACCCUCCGCUA